GAUGAACGCUGGCGGCGUGCUUAACACAUGCAAGUCGAACGAAGAUGCCGGAGUGCUUGCACUUUGGCAGACUGAGUGGCGGACGGGUGAGUAACGCGUGGGUAACCUGCCUUAUACAGGGGGAUAACAGUUGGAAACGACUGCUAAUACCGCAUAAGCGCACGGUAUCGCAUGAUACAGUGUGAAAAACUCCGGUGGUAUAAGAUGGACCCGCGUCUGAUUAGCUUGUUGGUGAGGUAACGGCCCACCAAGGCGACGAUCAGUAGCCGGCCUGAGAGGGUGAACGGCCACAUUGGGACUGAGACACGGCCCAAACUCCUACGGGAGGCAGCAGUGGGGAAUAUUGCACAAUGGGGGAAACCCUGAUGCAGCGACGCCGCGUGAGCGAAGAAGUAUUUCGGUAUGUAAAAGCUCUAUCAGCAGGGAAGAAGAAAUGACGGUACCUGACUAAGAAGCACCGGCUAAAAUACGUG
This 473-nucleotide ribosomal RNA is filed under the name uncultured bacterium. RNAcentral's name for it is "bacterial SSU rRNA". It matches the Rfam family "Bacterial small subunit ribosomal RNA", at positions 28 to 507 of the family's 1533-position model. The record is from RNAcentral.